UACGGAGGAUGCAAGCGUUAUCCGGAAUUAUUGGGCGUAAAGCGUCCGUAGGUGGCGAAUCAAGUCUUUUGUCAAAGCGUGCGGCUCAACCGCAUACGGGCAGAGGAAACUGAUUAGCUCGAGUGCGAUAGGGGUCACAGGAAUUCCCAGUGUAGCGGUGAAAUGCGUAGAUAUUGGGAAGAACACCAGCGGCGAAAGCGUGUGACUGGGUCUGCACUGACACUGAGGGACGAAAGCUAGGGGAGCGAAAGGG
RNAcentral lists this ribosomal RNA (253 nucleotides) under uncultured bacterium. RNAcentral's name for it is "partial 16S ribosomal RNA". It matches the Rfam family "Bacterial small subunit ribosomal RNA", at positions 524 to 776 of the family's 1533-position model. The record is from RNAcentral.